CCGAUGAUUAAGAGGUGAAAAUUAAAUUUUUAUUUUUCUCUCAUAUGUGUCUCCACAAGAUGCGAUUAAAAAAAAAAAACCCUACAAAUAUUAUAAUCGAAAAAACACGAUGAAACACUCUGUAUGUACUCAGUACGUUUUUGUCGGCCAAUUUUGAUUCCUGAGGGUUACCGUCAUCGUAAGUACCCAUUGUGUAAUUAAUUUUGCUUGACAAACACGAAAAAGACUGUGAUAUGCCAGAUUACGAACAAUAUUGUUGUACCGUUAGUCAGCCGUCCAAUAUGGAAACAUUGUCGUAUUCUUAUAGAUGAGGUGGGAAAAACAUAUAUAGACACGUUUUUUUAUUCUAACCGUUUUUAUUAAACACGUGGAAAAUGCUUUGGUUUUACGCUUUCCAACGGAUAUAGUAUAAUUAUCAUACGGCGAUCCUGUAACCCAGAGGUGAUAGCUACAGGGCGUAACAGGACUAUUUGACAUAGUCCUUGACUAUUGG
Non-coding RNA from Cinara cedri, 493 nucleotides. The record is from the annotation of a GenBank genome assembly. NCBI's taxonomy places the organism in Eukaryota, Metazoa, Arthropoda, Insecta, Hemiptera, Aphididae.